UAAUACAGAGGGUGCAAGCGUUAAUCGGAAUUACUGGGCGUAAAGCGCGCGUAGGCGGCUUGACAAGUCGAGUGUGAAAUCCCCGGGCUUAACCUGGGACCUGCAUUCGAAACUGUCUUGCUAGAGUAUGGGAGAGGGAAGUGGAAUUUCAGGUGUAGCGGUGAAAUGCGUAGAUAUCUGAAGGAACAUCAGUGGCGAAAGCGACUUCCUGGACCAAUACUGACGCUCAGGUGCGAAAGCGUGGGGAGCAAACAGGAUUAGAUACCCUGGUAGUCCACGCCAUAAACGAUGACAACUAGAUGUUGGGAGGGUUAGCCUCUCGGUGUCGUAGCUAACGCGUUAAGUUGUCCGCCUGGGGAGUACGGCCGCAAGGUUG
Molecule: ribosomal RNA, 376 nt
Filed under: uncultured bacterium
Lineage: Bacteria
Description: bacterial SSU rRNA
Rfam family: Bacterial small subunit ribosomal RNA
Source: RNAcentral